AUGUCCGAGUUCGUCAACCUUUGGGGGAAACUCUCGCUCGUCAACUUCAACCCUGAGGAGCUUGACUCAAUUACAUGGAAGCUCAGCAAUGAAGGCCAAUACUCGGCGGCGGCGGCUUAUAGUGCUCAGUUUCUUGGACUUGUGGACACAGACAUGCCUCUGUUGGUGUGGAAGAAUUGGGCUCCCCCCAAAUGCAAUUCUUUUGCUUGGUUGGUCAUCAACAAUAGAGUUUGGACGGCUGACCGGAUUCAGCGAAGAGGAUGGCCAAAUUGCAACCUUUGCCCUCUUUGCAAGCAGAUCCUGGAGUCGUGGCGCAUCUUCUUUUCCAAUGCCGCUACACCAUCCGUGUGUAGGUAA
Molecule: ribosomal RNA, 357 nt
Filed under: Triticum aestivum (bread wheat)
Lineage: Eukaryota; Viridiplantae; Streptophyta; Magnoliopsida; Poales; Poaceae
Description: partial small subunit ribosomal RNA
Source: RNAcentral